AAGUCGUAACAAGGUUUCCGUAGGUGAACCUGCGGAAGGAUCAUUUCCGAGAUUGUACCUUUUCCUUUUGUUCUUGUAGAGUUUAGAGGGGCUUAACACCCUUUUGGAUUCGACGGGAUGAAAAGAAAGGUAUAUCAAAGAGAGAAUGUGGUAUAUAUGCGCGAUUCCUUUUGCUAUUCUUCUAGUCUUUGGACUGGUCGAAAAAGGAAAAGGUUUCAUUUUCUAAACAAUAAAAACCAAGGUUACUAUUGUGUACAUUCAAAAAAAAAUACAUAAACAAAAUACAACUGUCAACGGUGGAUCUCUUGGCUCGU
RNAcentral lists this unclassified non-coding RNA (314 nucleotides) under fungal sp. RNAcentral describes it as "partial internal transcribed spacer region". The stretch from base 1 to 46 matches the Rfam family "Eukaryotic small subunit ribosomal RNA", at positions 1786 to 1831 of the family's 1831-position model. The record is from RNAcentral. Lineage: Eukaryota; Fungi.